Molecule: small nuclear RNA, 167 nt
Organism: Hippoglossus stenolepis (Pacific halibut)
Lineage: Eukaryota; Metazoa; Chordata; Actinopteri; Pleuronectiformes; Pleuronectidae
Product: U1 spliceosomal RNA
Exons: 1
Source: RefSeq, a predicted model, not a curated record
CCACUUACCUGGCAGGGGAGAUACCAUGAUCAUGAAAGGUGGUUCACCCAGAGGCGAGGCUCAGCCAUUGCACUUCGGUUGUGCUGACUAGCCCGUGCGAAUUCCCCAAAUAUGGGAAUCUGACUGCAUAAUUUGUGGUAGUGGGGACUGCGUCUUGCUCUCCUGAU